RNAcentral lists this ribosomal RNA (253 nucleotides) under uncultured bacterium. RNAcentral describes it as "partial 16S ribosomal RNA". It matches the Rfam family "Bacterial small subunit ribosomal RNA", at positions 524 to 776 of the family's 1533-position model. The record is from RNAcentral.
UACGUAGGGUGCGAGCGUUAAUCGGAAUUACUGGGCGUAAAGGGUGCGCAGGCGGCUUGCUAAGACAGGUGUGAAAGCCCCGAGCUUAACUUGGGAAUGGCGCUUGUGACUGGCAGGCUGGAGUGUGGCAGAGGGAGGUGGAAUUCCACGUGUAGCAGUGAAAUGCGUAGAGAUGUGGAGGAACACCGAUGGCGAAGGCGGCGUUCUGGACUGCAACUGACACUGAGGAACGAAAGCCAGGGGAGCAAACGGG